GGGGCCGACUGGGGAAGGGGCCGGGAAGAGCUGAGGGCGCACUAGGCGCCGCGCAGAGGCGCCUUUGAGUCGGCAGCCGCGGAGCCAGCGCACGGGCAUCGGCGGGACCCGGCGGACGGAAAGGCGGAGUGGGGGUCUUUGGACUGCACGACUAUAAUUUCAUGUGUGUGAAAUUCAAGGGGAAAAAGGAAACAAUACAUAAUCCAGCAUCACCAGUGUCACACUUCAGGACCUGAUGAAAUGUUUUAUCUUCUGAAAAGCUUUCCUGGCUCAGAUGAGGUGACUCAUGUCAGCCUACACAAAGGCUUCUUCAUAUACUAGAAUUUCUACUAUAAUUUUUCAGCCUUUCCACAAAACAAGUCUUACCAUAAUCCAGCAACAGAGCAAAAGAGAAGUCAAUGAUGAGAAGCUUGAUAAUGUAAAGGUUUAGUUCUAAGUUUCUGUAGGUCAAGAAUUUGGGAGCAGCUUAGCUGGAUGGUUCUCGCUCAAGGUGACUCAGGAAAUUCAGUCAAAAUGUUGGCCAGGACUACAGUCAUAGGAAGAUCUGACUGGAGCCAGGCAAUUUGCUUCCAACACAGCUCACAUACAUGAAUGGCAAGUU
This 601-nucleotide long non-coding RNA is filed under the name Homo sapiens (human). RNAcentral's name for it is "HSALNT0354216". The record is from RNAcentral. Lineage: Eukaryota; Metazoa; Chordata; Mammalia; Primates; Hominidae.